CCUACGGGAGGCAGCAGUAGGGAAUAUUGCUCAAUGGGGGAUACCCUGAAGCAGCAACGUCGCGUGGAGGAUGACGGUUUUCGGAUUUGAAACUCCUUUUGUUAGAGAAGUUAAUGACGGUAUCUAACGAAUAAGCACCGGCUAACUCCGUGCCAGCAGCCGCGGUAAUACGGAGGGUGCAAGCGUUACUCGGAAUUACUGGGCGUAAAGAGCGCGUAGGCGGGUUAGUAAGUCAGAUGUGAAAUCCUAUGGCUUAACCAUAAAAUUGCAUUUGAAACUGUUAUCCUAGAGUACGGGAGAGGUAGGCGGAAUUCUUGGUGUAGGGGUAAAAUGCUUAGAGAUCAAGAAGAA
RNAcentral lists this ribosomal RNA (351 nucleotides) under uncultured bacterium. Its description in RNAcentral is "partial 16S ribosomal RNA". It matches the Rfam family "Bacterial small subunit ribosomal RNA", at positions 338 to 706 of the family's 1533-position model. The record is from RNAcentral.